GCCGAGCAGCUAGCGACUGCUUGUAACCCGAGCGGGGGCAAUAAAGUGGUGUGGAUGCCAAUUGUGGCGCUUGGCCCAGGCCUGGUACUGCAAUCUGCGGCCCGCCCGUUCCAAGUUGGUAGUUGGGUUGUGACAGCUUUGGCGAAGGCCAUGGCGAACCAGCCUCUAGAGCGGCGGGCAAUGCGUGAGGCUGGUUUCACAGAGCAGCGAAUACCGUCCGCUUCCAACGGUGGAUGGAUAACGGGCCACUGCACUCCAGGUCCACCUAGGCCUAGGCGCUCUUUCUGGCAGACCACCAUUUUU
This 303-nucleotide signal recognition particle RNA is filed under the name Zea mays. RNAcentral describes it as "Plant signal recognition particle RNA". It matches the Rfam family "Plant signal recognition particle RNA". Lineage: Eukaryota; Viridiplantae; Streptophyta; Magnoliopsida; Poales; Poaceae. The record is from Rfam by way of RNAcentral.